AUGCGCGCGGCCUCUGGAAUUCCCGAAACCAUUUUCCCGCACACUGUCAACACACAGCUGUGCGAGUCCACGCGUCAAUGCGUGCAACGCGACUGCCCGGCGCCCACGACCCCACGCCAUGGGCCCCGACGCCCCGCGCCGAGGAGGGAGGGAGGGAGCGAGACAAACCGCGGCCGCAUUAUAGCUUCCAGGUGGAAGCGGGAGCCCCGGUUUCGGCGCCACGCCGCCCGCCCCUGGUUUGCUCCCCAAGAAGAACAGAACAGAGCAGGUAGCCAGCCAGCCAGACGUGGCGAAACCGCACCCUCCCUCCCAGCCCGGCCCCAUAUAUACCCCCGGCCUCCCCACACUCGGUUCCCCACGGAUUUGUUGAUCCUGUGA
RNAcentral lists this ribosomal RNA (378 nucleotides) under Triticum aestivum (bread wheat). RNAcentral describes it as "partial small subunit ribosomal RNA". Lineage: Eukaryota; Viridiplantae; Streptophyta; Magnoliopsida; Poales; Poaceae. The record is from RNAcentral.